GUGCUGGAUUCGGCAGUACAUAGACUAAAGUUGGAACGAUACAGUAAAUAUUAGCAUGGUCCCUGCACAAGGAUGACAUGCAAAAUUGUGAAGCAUUCCAUAUUUUU
Small nuclear RNA from Pipistrellus kuhlii (Kuhl's pipistrelle), 107 nucleotides. The record is from RefSeq and is a predicted model, not a curated record. NCBI's taxonomy places the organism in Eukaryota, Metazoa, Chordata, Mammalia, Chiroptera, Vespertilionidae.